Molecule: long non-coding RNA, 321 nt
Organism: Poecilia latipinna (sailfin molly)
Lineage: Eukaryota; Metazoa; Chordata; Actinopteri; Cyprinodontiformes; Poeciliidae
Exons: 3
Source: RefSeq, a predicted model, not a curated record
AGAACCCAAAGUGGGUCCAGGGGGCCCAAAGUGGGUCCAGAGGGCCCAGAGUGGGUCCAGAGACCCCAAAGUGGGUCCAGGGGGCCCAAAGUGGGUCCAGGGGGCCCAAAGUGGGUCCAGGAAACCCAAAGUGGGUCCAGGGGGCCCAAAGUGGGUCCAGGAAGCCCAAAGUGGGUCCAGGGGGCCCAAAGUGGGUCCAGAGAACCCAAAGUGGGUCCAGGGGGCCCAAAGUGGGUCCAGGGGGCCCAAAGUGGGUCCAGAGAACCCAAAGUGGGUCCAGGGGGCCCAAAGUGGGUCCAGGGGGCCCGGCAUCCUGCAUGU